This 305-nucleotide ribosomal RNA is filed under the name uncultured bacterium. RNAcentral describes it as "bacterial SSU rRNA". It matches the Rfam family "Bacterial small subunit ribosomal RNA", at positions 333 to 649 of the family's 1533-position model. The record is from RNAcentral.
UCAGGCCUACGGGAGGCAGCAGUCGAGAAUCAUUCACAAUGGGGGAAACCCUGAUGGUGCGACGCCGCGUGGGGGAAUGAAGGUCUUCGGAUUGUAAACCCCUGUCAUGUGGGAGCAAAUUAAGAAGAUAGUACCACAAGAGGAAGAGACGGCUAACUCUGAGCCAGCAGCCGCGGUAAUACAGAGGUCUCAAGCGUUGUCCGGAAUCACUGGGCGUAAAGCGUGCGUAGGCUGUUUCGUAAGUCGUGUGUGAAAGGCGCGGGCUCAACCCGCGGACGGCGCAUGAUACUGCGAGACUAGAGUCA